AUUUAAAUAGUUUAGGGGAAUAAAAUAUAAUAUUGAAGAUAUUAUGAUGAUUUUUAAUCUUUAAAUA
Molecule: transfer RNA, 67 nt
Filed under: Figites sp. ZJUH 20220010
Lineage: Eukaryota; Metazoa; Arthropoda; Insecta; Hymenoptera; Figitidae
Description: tRNA-Phe
Source: RNAcentral